RNAcentral lists this non-coding RNA (30 nucleotides) under Mus musculus (house mouse). Lineage: Eukaryota; Metazoa; Chordata; Mammalia; Rodentia; Muridae. The record is from RNAcentral.
UGUGAUAAACUGGAGCCACCCCAAGACCUU